UCCGGUGGUAACAGGGCCCUCACACAGACCCGCACUGACCUGGAAAAGCUUCGGGAGCGAGCGGCGACGGGGGAGCGGCGGGAGAUCCCGGUAACUGCUCGCUGGAUCCCUUUGCAGUGCCGUCACUUCAGAAGGCCUAGCCCUUGAAGACUGACGCUACCCAAGGCUCAAC
This is a long non-coding RNA of Dipodomys spectabilis (banner-tailed kangaroo rat), 172 nucleotides long. RefSeq lists it as uncharacterized. The record is from RefSeq and is a predicted model, not a curated record. NCBI's taxonomy places the organism in Eukaryota, Metazoa, Chordata, Mammalia, Rodentia, Heteromyidae. The transcript is spliced from 3 exons.